GAGGGUAUAGCUCAGUGAUAGAGCGCAUGCUUAGCAUGCAUGAGGUCCUGGGUUCAAUCCCUGGCACCUCCA
This 72-nucleotide transfer RNA is filed under the name Camelus bactrianus (Bactrian camel). It matches the Rfam family "tRNA". From Rfam's summary of the family: Transfer RNA (tRNA) molecules are approximately 80 nucleotides in length. RNAcentral also lists the same sequence under 2 other names. Lineage: Eukaryota; Metazoa; Chordata; Mammalia; Artiodactyla; Camelidae. The record is from Rfam by way of RNAcentral.